GACGAACGCUGGCGGCGUGCUUAACACAUGCAAGUCGAGCGGUAAGGCCCUUUCGGGGUACGACGAGCGGCGAACGGGUGAGUAACACGUGGGUGACCUGCCCUCAGCUCUGGGAUAAGCCUGGGAAACCGGGUCUAAUACCGGAUAUGACUCCAUGACGCAUGUUGUGGGGUGGAAAGCCUUGUGCGGCUGAGGAUGGGCCCGCGGCCUAUCAGCUUGUUGGUGGGGUGAUGGCCUACCAAGGCGACGACGGGUAGCCGGCCUGAGAGGGCGACCGGCCACACUGGGACUGAGACACGGCCCAGACUCCUACGGGAGGCAGCAGUGGGGAAUAUUGGACAAUGGGCGCAAGCCUGAUCCAGCCAUGCCGCGUGAGUGAUGAAGGCCCUAGGGUUGUAAAGCUCUUUCGCCCAGGGACGAUAAUGACGGUACCUGGAUAAGAAGCCCCGGCUAA
This 454-nucleotide ribosomal RNA is filed under the name uncultured bacterium. RNAcentral's name for it is "bacterial SSU rRNA". It matches the Rfam family "Bacterial small subunit ribosomal RNA", at positions 28 to 500 of the family's 1533-position model. The record is from RNAcentral.